RNAcentral lists this ribosomal RNA (212 nucleotides) under uncultured bacterium. RNAcentral's name for it is "partial 16S ribosomal RNA". It matches the Rfam family "Bacterial small subunit ribosomal RNA", at positions 524 to 734 of the family's 1533-position model. The record is from RNAcentral.
UACGAAGGGGGCUAGCGUUGCUCGGAAUCACUGGGCGUAAAGCGCACGUAGGCGGAUUAUCUAAGUCAGGGGUGAAAUCCUGGAGCUCAACUCCAGAACUGCCCUUUGAUACUGGAGGAUCUGAGUCGGGAGAGGUGAGUGGAACUGCGAGUGUAGAGGUGAAAUUCGUAGAUAUUCGCAAGAACACCAGUGGCGAAGGCGGCUCACUGGCC